Molecule: ribosomal RNA, 274 nt
Filed under: uncultured bacterium
Lineage: Bacteria
Description: partial 16S ribosomal RNA
Rfam family: Bacterial small subunit ribosomal RNA
Source: RNAcentral
AUACGAAGGGGGCUGGCGUUGUUCGGAAUCACUGGGCGUAAAGCGCGCGUAGGUGGAUCAAUUAGUUGAGGGUGAAAUCCCGGGGCUCGACCUCGGAACUGCCUUCAAUACUGUUGAUCUUGAGACCGAGAGAGGUGAGUGGAAUUCCUAGUGUAGAGGUGAAAUUCGUAGAUAUUAGGAAGAACACCAGUGGCGAAGGCGGCUCACUGGCUCGGAACUGACGCUGAGGUGCGAAAGCGUGGGGAGCAAACAGGAUUAGAAACCCUAGUAGUCC